GAUAUUUCCAUAGCUUUGUCAGAGUAACAUAUUAUAUAGAUAAAAAUUUAGAGGCAAAAGAUGUCUUAAAAGUUGUAGUCUUAGUAAGAAGACAGGAUAUAACAUACAUUAAGGCUAGGAAGGUAGAAAUUUUAGACAUAGCCAAGCCUUGACCGGUGUUCCACUGUUCUAUAAAGUCCUUGAGCAGACCAUGGGCUUAGAAUUCAGGAAGAAAGUUGACUAUUCAGUGACAUUCAGAAUUGCCUCUGGCAUUACACUAUCACUUUAAAUAAAAGCUAGGUCACUGUCUUACACAGGAAUUUACCAUGAACUAGGAAAAAGGAAGUUUAAGACCUAAAGAGGAACCAGAGUAGAUACUUAGAACUGUAGAUAACUGAGUUACACCCAUACACAAGUAUUUACAAUGGCCUAGGGGAAAGGUGAACUACCAAAACUGGUUUUCAACCUCCCCCUGGCUUUCGACCUUGUUGCCCUCCCUUUUGGGGCCCCUAUUGGAAUUCCUAUUAUUGAUCUUGUUCAGUCCUUGGGCAUUUCAGAAAUUGACCCGAUUUGUUAAAUCUCAAGUUGAUUCAUGUCUUUCAAGUGCAUUUGUUUCAGUUCAUUACCAUUGGCUGGACGUUGGUGAUAACAAGCAGGUUACUGGAGAAGAGGCAGACGCGGAUGCCGCUUCAUCACCCUCUUCUCGGGGAGAGAGACUCAAUUUCCAUAAAAUGCUUAAGUAAGACCAUUCCCCUCCCCCUAAAUUCGGCCAUCAGUCUCAUGCCACAAAUCAUUUAUAGAUUGCCAUAGUCUGUGCUUUUCCAACAUGGUAAUAUACGUUCUUGCCACAUUGGAAACUAAACAGUCAUCCCAGGCUAGACACAUCAAAAAAUUAAAACUUGAAGCCGUCGCCCGUGAGAGUUGUAAGACUAAGUACUGCACAGAGAUUAGUCUGGAAGCUGUUAGACAGUCUCUGAGAGGCAUGUCUGAUUGCAUAAAGGUUGAGUGCCCCAGGGACCUUUCCCCAGAAAAAAACGGCACAGGAGCAGGUCAGGGUUACUCUGGGUAAAAAUCUGUGGGCCUGAGAGUCAAUCCUGUACAUGGCCCCUAACAUUAAACACUGGGGAUCAGACCUCUACCUCUACCCACGGAGCUUGCUUCAUUCCUAAAUCCCUUGGCUAGCCCAAGUUAUAUCCAAAAGAUUGGAACCAUUAAUUCAAGCCUCAUAGAUGACUUGUCCUUGUGUCCUUCGUGGUUUUAGAGAAUCAUCCGGUGAGCAAACAGACGUUUAGGUGAUCUUUAAAAACGUGGCUACAAAUUUAUUAUACAAUAUGCCUUUAUAAAAAUAUUAAAACGGGGGAGAUGUUGGGAGCCAUUAAGGCAACGCUAUUGUCCUGUUCUCUGAAUUGGGCCUCUCCCCCCGAGAAGAAAAGAGGGUCAAAAGCGGGCCACCGACACAUGGAUUCUGAGAACCACGGGAGGUUCCAGCCCUAGGUCAUCACCGAUGUCCUGACCACACCCUGAUACCACCAAGUUCCUGCUUCCCCGUGUAGCUGUCAAAAGAAAGAAUUUCUAUUGCCCCCUUCCCAUAAGUACUUCUCCUUUUGCUUGUAUUGCCCUACCCCUCCCACUGAUAAGUAUCUGUACUUCCCCCUUUGCUUGUGCAUUUAAACCUUGGACCUUUCUCAAUACAUUGGGGUCUUGAUACAACUUCAAAAAAAAAAAAGAAUAACAUUCUAAUAUCAAAAUGGAUUGUGGAAAGAGUUGAAAAUCUGGAAUGAAAAUAAUUCUAGGAAACAGUACUAUAGACUUUUGCAAAGUCUCAGUAUAUCUCAAUUUCCAUACUUGUAAAUAAUUAAAAAGGCAGAGCAAAUGCAGAAUGUCUAACACAGAGAGCCAUCAUAGCUAUGAGGUGUGCUCAUGUGCACACAGAGAGCCUUGGUAGCAAUGAAGUGUGUUCAUGUACACACAGAGUGCUGAGGUAGUAAUGAGAUGUGCUUACAUACACACAGAGAGCUGUCAUAGCAAUGAAGUGUGCUAGUGUGCUCAUGUAUAUACUACAGUAUUUUGACACUUGUUUUUUUUUUUUUUCUGUGUAAGUUUCUAUGCUUACAGAGACCCAAUACAUAGUGGUAUUUGCCUAUUGAAUUUGUAAUUCUCAGAGCCUGUAAAUGUAUUCCCCUUCUGAAUGGAGUCCAUGUUGUGUUACAGUGUCACCAUUUCCCAAGAUCCUUAAAGUAAAUGGCAAUGUUUAAAGAAUC
RNAcentral lists this long non-coding RNA (2240 nucleotides) under Mus musculus (house mouse). Its description in RNAcentral is "long non-coding RNA chr11:27179452-27181692". The record is from RNAcentral. Lineage: Eukaryota; Metazoa; Chordata; Mammalia; Rodentia; Muridae.